UCCUACGGGAGGCAGCAGUGGGGAAUAUUGCACAAUGGGGGAGACCCUGAUGCAGCCAUGCCGCGUGUGUGAAGAAGGCCUUCGGGUUGUAAAGCACUUUCAGUUGUGAGGAAAAGUUAGUAGUUAAUACCUGCUAGCCGUGACGUUAACAACAGAAGAAGCACCGGCUAACUCCGUGCCAGCAGCCGCGGUAAUACGGAGGGUGCGAGCGUUAAUCGGAAUUACUGGGCGUAAAGCGCACGCAGGCGGUUUGUUAAGCUAGAUGUGAAAGCCCCGGGCUCAACCUGGGAUGGUCAUUUAGAACUGGCAGACUAGAGUCUUGGAGAGGGGAGUGGAAUUCCAGGUGUAGCGGUGAAAUGCGUAGAUAUCUGGAGGAACAUCAGUGGCGAAGGCGACUCCCUGGCCAAAGACUGACGCUCAUGUGCGAAAGUGUGGGUAGCGAACAGGAUUAGAUACCCUGGUAGUCCACACCGUAAACGCUGUCUACUAGCUGUGUGUGCCUUUAAGGCGUGCGUAGCGAAGCUAACGCGCUAAGUAGACCGCCUGGGGAGUACGGCCGCAAGGUUAAAACUCAAAUGAAUUGACGG
Molecule: ribosomal RNA, 587 nt
Filed under: uncultured bacterium
Lineage: Bacteria
Description: bacterial SSU rRNA
Rfam family: Bacterial small subunit ribosomal RNA
Source: RNAcentral